Molecule: long non-coding RNA, 714 nt
Organism: Oncorhynchus tshawytscha (Chinook salmon)
Lineage: Eukaryota; Metazoa; Chordata; Actinopteri; Salmoniformes; Salmonidae
Source: Ensembl
GUUGUGUUGUGGUUAUAUCAUGGUUGUGUUGUGGUUAUAUCAUGGUUGUGUUAUGGUUGUGUUGUGGUUGUAUUAUGAUUGUGUUGUGGUUGUGUCGUGGUUGUGUUGUGGUUAUAUCAUGGUUGUGUUAUGGUUAUAUCAUGGUUGUGUUGUGGUUACUACCUGGUGUGGGUAGGCGUCUCCAGAACCCAACAGUCUCUUGUUUUGGUCAAACAGCAUCCAGAGCUGAGAGUCAAACUCUGAUUCAUACAACUGGUCACACAUUACUGGACAGCUGGGGGUCACCUCUCCUGACUUAGGCUGGGGAGAGAGGUGGAGAGGUAGAGAGGUCAGACACACAGUACUGGACAGCUGGGGAGAGAGGUAGAGAGGUCAGACUGUACUGGACAGCUGGGGAGAGAGGUAGAGAGGUCAGACAGUACUGGACAGCUGGGGAGAGAGGUAGAGAGGUCAGACACACAGUACUGGACAGCUGGGGAGAGAGGUAGAGAGGUCAGACAGUACUGGACAGCUGGGGAGAGAGGUAGAGAGGUCAGACUGUACUGGACAGCUAGGGAGAGAGGUAGAGAGGUCAGACUGUACUGGACAGCUAGGGAGAGAGGUAGAGAGGUCACACACACCAAACAGAGGUGUAUAAUACAACCUAGACACUCUCACCUGGUGGAAGCUGUAGGUGAGGAUGAUUUCGUAGAGCUGUCUGUUGUUGGGGAGGAC